UUACGGGAGGCAGCAGUAGGGAAUUUUGGACAAUGGGGGCAACCCUGAUCCAGCCAUUCCGCGUGAGUGAAGAAGGCCUUCGGGUUGUAAAGCUCUUUUGUCCGGAACGAAACGGGUAAGGCUAAUACCUUUGCCUACUGACGGUACCGGAAGAAUAAGCACCGGCUAACUACGUGCCAGCAGCCGCGGUAAUACGUAGGGUGCGAGCGUUAAUCGGAAUUACUGGGCGUAAAGCGUGCGCAGGCGGUUUUGUAAGCCAGAUGUGAAAUCCCCGGGCUUAACCUGGAAUGGCAUUUGGGACUGCAAGGCUGGAGUGCGGCAGAGGAGACUGGAAUUCCUGGUGUAGCAGUGAAAUGCGUAGAUAUCAGGAGGAAUACCGAUGGCGAAGGCAGGUCUCUGGGCUGACACUGACGCUCAUGCACGAAAGCGUGGGGAGCAAACAGGAUUAGAUACCCUUGUAGUC
This 463-nucleotide ribosomal RNA is filed under the name uncultured bacterium. Its description in RNAcentral is "bacterial SSU rRNA". It matches the Rfam family "Bacterial small subunit ribosomal RNA", at positions 339 to 795 of the family's 1533-position model. The record is from RNAcentral.